UCCCAUAUAGUCCAGUGGUUAGGAUUUGGCGCUUUCACCGCCAUGGCCCGGGUUCAAUUCCUGGUGUGGGAA
Molecule: transfer RNA, 72 nt
Filed under: Saccoglossus kowalevskii
Lineage: Eukaryota; Metazoa; Hemichordata; Enteropneusta; Harrimaniidae
Description: tRNA-Glu
Rfam family: tRNA
About the family: Transfer RNA (tRNA) molecules are approximately 80 nucleotides in length. Their secondary structure includes four short double-helical elements and three loops (D, anti-codon, and T loops).
Source: RNAcentral